Molecule: long non-coding RNA, 201 nt
Filed under: Lathyrus oleraceus (garden pea)
Lineage: Eukaryota; Viridiplantae; Streptophyta; Magnoliopsida; Fabales; Fabaceae
Description: Pisum sativum (pea) long non-coding RNA (PSAT_LNC029905)
Source: RNAcentral
CCACACAUGCAACAAGACAACAUAAACUAGGUUUGACUUGCUUAGAGAAACUGUAUCCCGACAGAGUCGUCAGUUGUCGCUAUGCGAAAACUGAACGACAAUGUCAAUUGACACAGAGUCGUCACCAAAUUUUAUUUAUUCCUAUAUAAAGAGGAAAUGGAAAAUAAUCGAUAAAACCUUAUAGAGGAAAGAAUAUGGAAA